GUACGGAUCUCUCUUUGAAGGACAGAACAGUAAUUACAGAUUCCUCUAUUCCCCCAUAAGAACCCAGUGUCUCGACAUGGUGGAGAACAGUCUCUUCUUCCGAGGACAAGGCUCAUGCCCCAGUUUCCAGGAUUGUUAGAUUCGUUAAACAAGCUGGUGAUCCAGGAAAUAAAAAUUGCAAUGAUACAUAGCACAUUCGAGUAGAAUAGGAGACGCCAUAUCUACUAAAAGCUGAAAUGGCUUCUCUUUCAGUCUUCUCAUGUCAACAAAUUUGCUGGCAUGGACCUGUUUUGAUUUCCAUAACUAGAGAACUUGCUUUGGUUUGAUGAUAUGCAGAAUGUCAAAACCUUGCAGCCAUCAUGCCGUAUCUUUUGCUUAGAAAGAAACAAACAAACAGGCGAGGAACAAAUUAUGCAAGUGAGAUUACAGAGAGGUUAAGCAUUUUGUCACGUACUACUGAGACAUACAUGUUGUGCACCAUAUACAUAUAGUAGUAAACCAUCAACAAGACCCUUGUAUCACUCUCUUGCCAAAAGAAUAUCAUUUCUUUCAUUCUAGCAUGUGAAUUUCUCACAUGUCCGCUACAAAAUGAGGGAAGAUUCCCAUUAUUAACCUCAUCAAGGGGUUUUUCAGCUUUUUUGAAAAAUGAGAGAAGCCAGUUGGAGGGAAACCUCUAAGAAAAUUGUUUAAUAAUGUUCACUACUGAUCGCAUUAUUCCACAUCAAAUGAUUUAACAUGUUGCAAAG
Molecule: long non-coding RNA, 746 nt
Organism: Populus euphratica (Euphrates poplar)
Lineage: Eukaryota; Viridiplantae; Streptophyta; Magnoliopsida; Malpighiales; Salicaceae
Exons: 2
Source: RefSeq, a predicted model, not a curated record